RNAcentral lists this ribosomal RNA (279 nucleotides) under uncultured bacterium. RNAcentral's name for it is "partial 16S ribosomal RNA". It matches the Rfam family "Bacterial small subunit ribosomal RNA", at positions 80 to 354 of the family's 1533-position model. The record is from RNAcentral.
UACUCCCGCCGGCGACCGGCGCACGGGUGAGUAACACGUAUGAAACCUGCCCGUAGCAGGGGGAUAAGCGGAAGAAAUUCCGUCUAAUACCGCGUAACAACCCGAGGAGGCAUCUCCUCGGGUUUAAAGGAAGCGAUUCCGGCUACGGAUGGUCAUGCGUCGCAUUAGCUAGUUGGGCGGGGUAACGGCCCACCAAGGCGACGAUGCGUAGGGGUUCUGAGAGGAAGGUCCCCCACACUGGUACUGAGACACGGACCAGACUCCUACGGAAGGCAGCAG